RNAcentral lists this ribosomal RNA (293 nucleotides) under uncultured eukaryote. RNAcentral describes it as "partial 18S ribosomal RNA". It matches the Rfam family "Eukaryotic small subunit ribosomal RNA", at positions 6 to 301 of the family's 1831-position model. The record is from RNAcentral.
GGUUGAUCCUGCCAGUAGUCAUAUGCUUGUCUCAAAGAUUAAGCCAUGCAUGUCUAAGUAUAAACUGCUUUAUACUGUGAAACUGCGAAUGGCUCAUUAAAUCAGUUAUAGUUUAUUUGAUGGUGCCCCUUACACGGAUAACCGUAGUAAUUCUAGAGCUAAUACGUGCGCAAAUCCCGACUCUCGGAAGGGAUGUAUUUAUUAGAUAAAAGGCCAACCGGGCUCGCCCGAUCACUGGUGAAUCAUGAUAACUUCACGAAUCGCACGGCCUCGUGCCGGCGAUGUUUCAUUCA